UACGUAGGGUGCAGGCGUUAAUCGGAAUUACUGGGCGUAAAGCGCACGUAGGCGGACAUUUAAGUUGGAGGUGAAAGCCUUGGGCUCAACCCAAGAAUUGCCUUUGAUACUGGAUGUCUCGAGACCGGGAGAGGUGAGUGGAAUUCCGAGUGUAGAGGUGAAAUUCGUAGAUAUUCGGAAGAACACCAGUGGCGAAGGCGGCUCACUGGCCCGGUUCUGACGCUGAGGUGCGAAAGCGUGGGGAGCAAACAGG
Molecule: ribosomal RNA, 253 nt
Filed under: uncultured bacterium
Lineage: Bacteria
Description: partial 16S ribosomal RNA
Rfam family: Bacterial small subunit ribosomal RNA
Source: RNAcentral